AGGGCAGCAGUUCCCCUCGCCCCAGUCCGAUGAACAGAUCGAAAAAUUCCUUGGCGACCACGCGCUCGUCGAACUGCGCCGCCGCUGCGGCAAGUUCGAUAUGCGCCAUGCCGAGAUCGGACGGGUCGCCCUUGAGCAUCGCGACCUUGGACAAUGUGUCUGCGGUCGGCGCUUUGCCCAGCAGCAGCGACAGCAAGCCGUACUCCGCGGCGCGAAGUUGAUCGAUUUCGUCGAUGUCUGAUUUCGCUGGCAUAUGCUCCCCGGCUGAUCCGUAGAGGUCGGGGCGGAGAACGAAACGGGGAACCUGUGUCAGAGACUCAACGGCGAGGACUCUCUCAGCCGG
This 343-nucleotide unclassified non-coding RNA is filed under the name Hevea brasiliensis (rubber tree). The record is from RNAcentral. Lineage: Eukaryota; Viridiplantae; Streptophyta; Magnoliopsida; Malpighiales; Euphorbiaceae.